UUUAAUUCGAUGCAACGCGAAGAACCUUACCUACUCUUGACAUCCACGGAAUUGUGCAGAGAUGCGCAAGUGCCUUCGGGAACCGUGAGACAGGUGCUGCAUGGCUGUCGUCAGUUCGUGUUGUGAAAUGUUGGGUUAAGUCCCGCAACGAGCGCAACCCUUGUCCUUUGUUGCCAGCGCGUAGAGGCGGGAACUCAAAGGAGACUGCCGGUGAUAAACCGGAGGAAGGUGGGGACGACGUCAAGUCAUCAUGGCCCUUACGAGUAGGGCUACACACGUGCUACAAUGGCGUAUACAAAGGGAUGCGAACCUGCGAGGGAAAGCGGAACUCAGAAAGUACGUCGUAGUCCGGAUUGGAGUCUGCAACUCGACUCCAUGAAGUCGGAAUCGCUAGUAAUCGUAGAUCAGAAUGCUA
Molecule: ribosomal RNA, 415 nt
Filed under: uncultured bacterium
Lineage: Bacteria
Description: bacterial SSU rRNA
Rfam family: Bacterial small subunit ribosomal RNA
Source: RNAcentral